RNAcentral lists this unclassified non-coding RNA (348 nucleotides) under soil metagenome. RNAcentral's name for it is "partial contains 5.8S ribosomal RNA, internal transcribed spacer 2, and large subunit ribosomal RNA". The stretch from base 1 to 120 matches the Rfam family "5.8S ribosomal RNA", at positions 35 to 154 of the family's 154-position model. The record is from RNAcentral.
GAUGAAGAACGCAGCGAAAUGCGAUACGUAAUGUGAAUUGCAGAAUUCAGUGAAUCAUCGAGUCUUUGAACGCACAUUGCGCCCCCUGGUAUUCCGGGGGGCAUGCCUGUCCGAGCGUCAUUGCUGCCCUCAAGCACGGCUUGUGUGUUGGGCCUCCGCCCCCGGCUCCCGGGGGGCGGGCCCGAAAGGCAGCGGCGGCACCGCGUCCGGUCCUCGAGCGUAUGGGGCUUCGUCACCCGCUCCGUAGGCCCGGCCGGCGCCCGCCGGCGACCCCCCUCAAUCUUUCCAGGUUGACCUCGGAUCAGGUAGGGAUACCCGCUGAACUUAAGCAUAUCAAUAAGCGGAGGA